Long non-coding RNA from Lycium barbarum (goji berry), 982 nucleotides. RefSeq lists it as uncharacterized. The transcript has 3 exons. Lineage: Eukaryota; Viridiplantae; Streptophyta; Magnoliopsida; Solanales; Solanaceae. The record is from RefSeq and is a predicted model, not a curated record.
UUUGUCGCAAUAUUAAUUAUUAAAAGAAAUGAAUGUAUUAUUUAGCGACGGAAUAUAAAAUCCGUCGCUAUUCCGUCGUUAAAUGUAAAAAAAAAAAAGAUAUCUCGUAGCUAGGGUACACAUUAUUUCAUUUCCAAACACAGCAGCCAACACGGAUAGAGAGAUAGACUGCGAAAUUGCUAACAUAGAGAGAGAGAGCACAACAUAGAUCAAAAUAAUGUGAAUCUAGGGUUUCUAUUGUGUUUUUCUCUUCUUCUACUGCAACUUUUAUCUAAAGGAAAGGUAUGUUUUGAUUUUUCUAUGUUUUAUGGGCAGUUUCUUUCUUCUUUAUCUCCUUCUUUGUAUUUUCUGACAUUAAAUCUAUCUGUGUUUUCUUGCUUAUUAUCUAAAGGACAGAGUGUCUUUAAGUAUUUUUUUGGGCUAAAAUCGAAGUUGGGUGUGUUGAAAACUGUUGGGCUUAUAAUUUAUUUGAAGGUUAAGUGUUGGGAAUCUAUAUUUCGACCAAAAUCUGAUGAAAAUGGAAAUUCGACUUUUGUUUGUGCUAAAUCUUGUAGGAUAAUAUUAUUUGGUGGUUAAAGUUUGUUUUAAUUCGUUGCAUGUCGAGAAAAAGCUUGAAGAACUCAACAUUCUUUAUAUUCUGUGAUUUGAAAUCAGUGUUAGUGAACUGAGUUUCUUACUCGAUUUUUUUUGUUUCAGUUUGUCAUUUUUUUAACUAAAAGGUGAAUGAUAUUUUCUGUUUCAAUAAGUUAUUUCAGCUUGUUCUUCUCUCUUAGCGGUAUUUCUCAUUAGCAAAAUGUAUCGUUUUGUAGCAAAUCUUGCUUCCAAAGCCAGAGUGGCAAGAACCAACACCCAACAAAUUGGUGGAAGGUUAAAUUGGAGUAGAAGUUAUGCUGCAAAGGAUAUUAGAUUUGGUGUUGAAGCUCGAGCUGCAAUGCUUCAAGGUAUUGAAGAACUUGCUGAUGUUGUUAAAGUCACUAUGGGU